GUUUCAGCAGCCGCGGUAAGACGAACCGUCCGAACGUUAUUCGGAAUCACUGGGCUUAAAGGGUGCGUAGGCGGCGCGGAAAGUUGGGUGUGAAAUCCCUCGGCUUAACCGAGGAACGGCGCCCAAAACUACCGUGCUCGAGGGAGAUAGAGGUGAGCGGAACUUAGGGUGGAGCGGUGAAAUGCGUUGAUAUCCUAAGGAACACCGGUGGCGAAAGCGGCUCACUGGAUCUCUUCUGACGCUGAUGCACGAAAGCUAGGGUAGCGAACGGGAUUAGAUACCCCUGUAGUCC
This 292-nucleotide ribosomal RNA is filed under the name uncultured bacterium. Its description in RNAcentral is "partial 16S ribosomal RNA". It matches the Rfam family "Bacterial small subunit ribosomal RNA", at positions 505 to 796 of the family's 1533-position model. The record is from RNAcentral.